UACGAAGGGGACUAGCGUUGUUCGGAAUUACUGGGCGUAAAGCGCACGUAGGCGGAUUUGUUAGUCAGGGGUGAAAUCCCGGGGCUCAACCUCGGAACUGCCUUUGAUACUGCAAAUCUCGAGUCCGAUAGAGGUGGGUGGAAUUCCUAGUGUAGAGGUGAAAUUCGUAGAUAUUAGGAAGAACACCGGUGGCGAAGGCGGCCCACUGGAUCGGUACUGACGCUGAGGAGCGAAAGCGUGGGGAGCGAACAGG
Molecule: ribosomal RNA, 253 nt
Filed under: uncultured bacterium
Lineage: Bacteria
Description: partial 16S ribosomal RNA
Rfam family: Bacterial small subunit ribosomal RNA
Source: RNAcentral